This 499-nucleotide ribosomal RNA is filed under the name uncultured bacterium. Its description in RNAcentral is "bacterial SSU rRNA". It matches the Rfam family "Bacterial small subunit ribosomal RNA", at positions 21 to 507 of the family's 1533-position model. The record is from RNAcentral.
GGCUCAGGAUGAACGCUAGCUACAGGCUUAACACAUGCAAGUCGAGGGGAAACGAUAUUGGAAGCUUGCUUCUGAUAGGCGUCGACCGGCGCACGGGUGAGUAACGCGUAUCCAACCUGCCCAUCACUUGGGGAUAACCUUGUGAAAGUAAGACUAAUACCCAAUGACGUCUCUAGAAGACAUCUGAAAGAGAUUAAAGAUUUUAUCGGUGAUGGAUGGGGAUGCGUCUGAUUAGCUUGUUGGCGGGUAACGGCCCACCAAGGCGACGAUCAGUAGGGGUUCUGAGAGGAAGGUCCCCCACAUUGGAACUGAGACACGGUCCAAACUCCUACGGGAGGCAGCAGUGAGGAAUAUUGGUCAAUGGACGAGAGUCUGAACCAGCCAAGUAGCGUGCAGGAUGACGGCCCUAUGGGUUGUAAACUGCUUUUAUAAGGGAAUAAAGUGGGAGUCGUGACUCUUUUUGCAUGUACCUUAUGAAUAAGGACCGGCUAAUUCCGUG